Long non-coding RNA from Dreissena polymorpha, 777 nucleotides. RefSeq lists it as uncharacterized. The record is from RefSeq and is a predicted model, not a curated record. Lineage: Eukaryota; Metazoa; Mollusca; Bivalvia; Myida; Dreissenidae. The transcript has 4 exons.
AUCAACUUUCGUGUUAACAGAGAUUUAACUACCAUGUACGAAAACGCUUUCAACCUUUGAUAUCGAAAAUGCUGUAUUUUGUUUGUAUGAUUGGAUUUAUUAUCAGCGGUUUCAUUUGCCACACACUUAAAUAUAAGCAUUCUUUACGCUUGUGGCGGCCAAUCAUAUGCUCUGAAUAUCGGCCAACAAAUACACAUUGUCGAAAGAAGUUAUAUCAAACAUAAUUAUAAAGUAUGCAGUUGUAUAAUUCAAGGAUCGACGGAACUGAAAAUUCAAGAUUAUUUCACACGUUUUGCAAAGACAAUUGAUGGACCGUAUACGCUAUCUAACAGUCACCUGUGGCUUAGUGACGUAGUCUACGACAAGUCAAAUAAUUCCAACACCCUUCAUAGCGAUUAUGAUCAUGCGAAUGUCUCAUUUCUUAUGAUUAUUUUUGAUAACAACUUCCGACGCCUUUGGUUGAGUGUAAACGUAAAAGGCAAUGAUACUAAAAUAUCGUGCAAAGACUCUGAGUUGUUGACGACCAAACACCCACACUACUGCCAAUAUAUGAAACCGAAAUGGGAUCAUCCACCCUUGCGCUUUCGUCUACCACGGUCACUUACACAGAGACACGGACAAAUGCAAGCUCCAAAUACAACACUUCAAUAUUUGGUCUGCCUCGGGGUCGAUGUCAGAGCAAACUGGCUCAUCGAAAUCAAAAGUUAAACUCGCAGAUGACGAAGAAGGUAUUUAAAAUCCGUAUUUCAUCUUACGUCUAUUAAAUAAACAGGAAAU